This 27-nucleotide non-coding RNA is filed under the name Homo sapiens (human). Lineage: Eukaryota; Metazoa; Chordata; Mammalia; Primates; Hominidae. The record is from RNAcentral.
CAGUCUGGACUGGAAUGCAGGUCAUGC